UUGCCUACGGGGGGCAGCAGUGGGGAAUAUUGCACAAUGGGGGGAACCCUGAUGCAGCGACGCCGCGUGGGUGAAGGAGUAUUUCGGUAUGUAAAGCCCUAUCAGCAGGGAAGAACAAUGACGGUACCUGACUAAGAAGCACCGGCUAACUACGUGCCAGCAGCCGCGGUAAUACGUAGGUGGCGAGCGUUAUCCGGAAUGAUUGGGCGUAAAGGGUGCGCAGGCGGUCCUGCAAGUCUGGAGUGAAACGCAUGAGCUCAACUCAUGCAUGGCUUUGGAAACUGGAGGACUGGCGAGCAGGAGAG
RNAcentral lists this ribosomal RNA (305 nucleotides) under uncultured bacterium. Its description in RNAcentral is "bacterial SSU rRNA". It matches the Rfam family "Bacterial small subunit ribosomal RNA", at positions 335 to 656 of the family's 1533-position model. The record is from RNAcentral.